Fukomys damarensis (Damara mole-rat) is the source of this 326-nucleotide long non-coding RNA. RefSeq lists it as uncharacterized. The record is from RefSeq and is a predicted model, not a curated record. Lineage: Eukaryota; Metazoa; Chordata; Mammalia; Rodentia; Bathyergidae. The transcript has 4 exons.
AUUUCUGGUAACACAUGGGAUAUAUGCAUAUCAGCUGGCAGAACCCGUUUCUUAUGUGCAAAAUCUUCAUUAGCCAAAAGCAGGAUGCCUGUAAGAAGGAAGGAUAAGUGGAUCGUCGUUCUUCAAACACGUGCAACAGCAAGAACCCAAGUAAUCAAGUUCUGGCAGGAGGUCACGAGGGGUUUUGAUGGACAGCCUAGAUCUGACAUCAGCACAGGGAUAUAGAAGACAACAGCCAUUAAACUCACGGGCACGGAAGAGUUGAGCGAAAGUCACUGCGCUGGGAUGAAACACCGGGAAGCGGGCGGCUCCACCUCAAAAGAAGA